Molecule: ribosomal RNA, 497 nt
Filed under: uncultured bacterium
Lineage: Bacteria
Description: partial 16S ribosomal RNA
Rfam family: Bacterial small subunit ribosomal RNA
Source: RNAcentral
GAUGAACGCUGGCGGCGUGCCUAAUACAUGCAAGUCGAGCGAACAGACGAGGAGCUUGCUCCUCUGACGUGAGCGGCGGACGGGUGAGUAACACGUGGAAAACCUACCUAUAAGACGGGGAUAACUACGGGAAACCGGAGCUAAUAGCGGAGAAUAUAUUGAACCGCAUGGUUGAAUGGUGAAAUACGGCGUUGGUGGCAGUUAUCGAUGGAUCCGCGCCGCAUUAGCUAGUUGGUAAGGUAACGGCUUAUCAAGGCAACGAUGCGUAGGCGACGUCAGAGGGUGAUCGCCCACCUUGGAGCUGAGCCACGGUCCAGACUCCUGCGGUAGGCAGCAGUAGGGUAUCUUACGCAGAGGUCGGGAACAUGGCGGAGCAGGGCGGAGUGUGAGGUAGAGGUCUUCGGAUCGUAAUGCUCUGUUAUGAGGUGUGAACAGCUGUGGAAGUAACUAUACACGUAUUGACGGUACCUAGUCAAAAAGCCCCGGCUAACUACGUG